Molecule: long non-coding RNA, 150 nt
Organism: Bufo bufo (common toad)
Lineage: Eukaryota; Metazoa; Chordata; Amphibia; Anura; Bufonidae
Exons: 3
Source: RefSeq, a predicted model, not a curated record
UAAAACUAUUCCACUGCUGACAGAUGUCCUUUAAGAUUAAGAAACCUACAGUAACCAGAUACUGGGCCAUAUGAAAGUUUUCUACUUUCCUACAGUCCAUGAGAGAACUCACACAAUGAGAAGGAUGGAGCCCACGCUGAGAUGAGACUC